Molecule: long non-coding RNA, 3770 nt
Filed under: Brassica napus (rape)
Lineage: Eukaryota; Viridiplantae; Streptophyta; Magnoliopsida; Brassicales; Brassicaceae
Description: long non-coding RNA (BNAP_LNC016523)
Source: RNAcentral
AAAAAAGGAUUUAUAUACUUUUUGACGUAUCUAGUCUCUCUCUCUCCACCUUUUCUCUUUCUCUCAAGACUCUCAAAGCGUCGUCAGAUCCAGUUUCUUCACCGGCGUCCGGCGGCGAGUGUGAGCGCGUGCUGGCGCCGGUACUCCUCCUCCUCUAUCUUGUCUGCUCUUUGCUUCAGCGGUAGUCCCUCCUCCCUAUUUUCUUUGUUGUCGGCUCUGGUUCGGCGAGCUCUAGUCGUCUUCGUUCCGCGCGCGAGGUUAACGACGGCGGUGAAAGCUUGGUUAGAUCUGGUGGCACGGCGCGGUGGGUGUAGGAGUUUCAUCCGGAGGAGUCGGCUUUUAGUGGCUGUGAGAGAGAAUCGCGUUUCAACCUUAGAUCUCUCUCUCUCGUGUCCUCUUUGUUCUUAGCCGUGUGGAAGGCGCGCCUCUCGGGUUCUGCGGUGCGUUGGUGCUGUUCUCUCUGAUGAGGUGUGCAGCUUUAGAGGUUGGUGGUUGCGAGUCUCAACGGCGUCGUCGGGGCUCCUCUCCUUCUCGUCGAAGUCAAAGUCUACUCCGGUGUUCUGGAGAUGAGUUUAUGUGGGUUGGUGUGCAGGCGGAGAUGGCACUUGCCUCGUUUAUGACUCGUGUUGGGUGUGGAGUGGGAUGUGUUCUUGGUCGUCUAUGGCCAGUAAAUUUCCGCUUAGCAAGCCUCGAGACUUUUUGGAAUCUAUGCUUUGUCAUUGAUCUUGAGUUCUUCAUUGGAUAGUGGCGACUAUUCUAGUGUGGUUCGGGCUCUGGUGUUUAUGGUGUUUCACUGUUGACUCCGGUGAUUCAUUUGCGAGUUCACAAUCACCGUUUCUUCGGUUCUCGAAGGCGGCAAGAGUCGUUCCGGCCUUGGUCUCGGUCGUGACGGAGUUUCUCUUGUGCCCGGUUACCUUCCCAGUGUCGGUGAAGGGUCAUUUGAUUCAUCAAUGGUAGUGUAGCUUGGCUGGUUUGUGCAGGUCGUUAGAGCCCUCUCGGUUGGUGUGUGACAUGGAGGUCAGGCCCAUUUUGUACAGGUAUCGGGGUGGCAGUAGCGAGCCUUUUUUCCUUGUUUGGGAGGCGGUUUCAAAUGUUGUGUGACGUUGUGUACAAGCCGAGACUUGGUGGUAUUGCAAGGCUCAUGUGGUAAGUAUCCAAAACCCUCCCCUAUUUGUUGUCGAGUGCUUCAUAGAUAGUGAUGGUUACAAGCUCGGUGGAGUUGAUUGGGAGCUAGCUACUCCGGAGACGACUUGAGAAGUUUCGGAAUCCGAGGCAACGAGGAGAACCUCACCUUCUUGGGAUCAUCGUCAAUGGUAGAGAGCAGUAACCAAUUCCAAAGAAUUUCGAAAGACAUACUAGCGGAAUGUGUCGGUUUUAGUGGACGGGUGAAGCUAGUUUGUAAUAGCUUGACUUUGGAAAUUUUGUUCAAAACAUGUUUGUAACCGAAUCUAAUUCCCGAUUUCGGGUUGAAUUAAUAUUUUUUUUUUAUUAAAAAAAAAAUAAGUCUCAUAUAAGCGUUUUCACUUGUUGAGAAUCCGUCUCGUUCAAUGACUGUACGUUGUUUUCAUGGUUCUCAUCACAAGGGAAAUGCAAGAAUCAUGUUUCUUGGGAGACAAGGCGAGUCCUUCCAAACUCUAGCGUGCAACUUAAGCAACUCCUUUGCCUUCUCUUUUGUCUUGCUUCCACAGUUAACCUGAAGCACAAGACACAGCUUCGAUACGCCCCCCAACUGUAACAUCUCGUGCAGCAAAGCCGGCGUCGCGCAGAACCUUCCCACCUAUAACAAAACCCUAACAGCUCUAUCGCUUGCCGUCUGCGAAAUCCUCAGUAUCUUCAUGCACACCACUGCUAUAGCCGCUCCGUGGUUCAAGAACUCAGCUCGUCCCUACGCACACUGACACAACAGAUCAAGAACCACCAUCGCCAUCUCUGGACCUUUCCUAUCUGAUGAGAAGCUAUCGUCCAUGAGACUCUAAAUCAUCACAGAUACCGCUCCAGCUUCCGCUUUAAGAUUUAUCUACAAGUUAUUGGUUGGCUAAGAAAUUACUUAGGUUGGCUUAGGGAUGUUAAAACGGGCUACCCGAGCCUGUUUAAGCCCUGCCCGUUUAAAGUCAUGCCCGUCCAGAGCCUGUUAACUGCAUUCCCGUUAAAGUCCGAUUAACUAUGACCCGUUUACAAUUGUGAUGUCCGUUUAGAUCUGUGAGCCCUUUUUUUCUUUCUAAUUAUAAUUAAUUAAUUUUUAAUGACAUUAAACUUUAUAUUUUUUUUGUAAUGAUGUUGUCUUUAAUUAUUUCUUUUACUUUUUAUCGUUUCUUUUUUUCUAAAUGCAGUUUUAAUUAUCUUAAGAUAUGAUAUUGUACAAACUUUUUAAAAACCUAUUUUUAAAUCCAGUUUUAAUUAUUUCACAUGCUCAAUAACAUGUAAUAAACCAGAUUUGUGUAUCUAAUACAUAUUUAAAAUCUGCAGUGUAUCUAAUACAAUUUAAAAUCUGCAAGUACAUAAAAUCUAAAACUUAGAAAGUGAAAUACAACAAACCAUAGAGAGUCUGAAAGUACAUAAUGCUUGUGUCUGAAAUUAGAAAAAAAAAAACUGCAAACCAUUUAGAAACAAGACAUAAACCAACUUCAUCCUCCUCUGUUAGUCUCAAACCAACAAUCCCUACUCCAUCUACAUGGAGCUUUGAUCUGCAACGAAAAAAAGGGUUUUAACACAAAACAAUUAUAUGUAGCCAACCAAAUAAAGUGAGAACUAAAGUGAUACAUUACGACAGUGCCGGCCCUGGGGUAAAGCACACGAAGCAAGGGCUUCAGGCGCCACAAUCUAUAUAAUUUUUCGGGGCACCAAGACUAAGUAAGUUCCUUUAGUAAGGUGGUUGUGUUCUUGUAAGUUUUUACUAUGGGUGGCGAGUUCAAAUCUCAGCUUCUUAGCUUCUUUUUUCCCCUUUGAACAAUUUAAAAGAUGUUGGACCUGAUAUCUAACAAAUUCGACUGAGUUCUUCAUUGGAUAGUGGCGACUAUUCUAGUGUGGUUCGGGCUCUGGUGUUUAUGGUGUUUCACUGUUGACUCCGGUGAUUCAUUUGCGAGUUCACAAUCACCGUUUCUUCGGUUCUCGAAGGCGGCAAGAGUCGUUCCGGCCUUGGUCUCGGUCGUGACGGAGUUUCUCUUGUGCCCGGUUACCUUCCCAGUGUCGGUGAAGGGUCAUUUGAUUCAUCAAUGGUAGUGUAGCUUGGCUGGUUUGUGCAGGUCGUUAGAGCCCUCUCGGUUGGUGUGUGACAUGGAGGUCAGGCCCAUUUUGUACAGGUAUCGGGGUGGCAGUAGCGAGCCUUUUUUCCUUGUUUGGGAGGCGGUUUCAAAUGUUGUGUGACGUUGUGUACAAGCCGAGACUUGGUGGUAUUGCAAGGCUCAUGUGGUAAGUAUCCAAAACCCUCCCCUAUUUGUUGUCGAGUGCUUCAUAGAUAGUGAUGGUUACAAGCUCGGUGGAGUUGAUUGGGAGCUAGCUACUCCGGAGACGACUUGAGAAGUUUCGGAAUCCGAGGCAACGAGGAGAACCUCACCUUCUUGGGAUCAUCGUCAAUGGUAGAGAGCAGUAACCAAUUCCAAAGAAUUUCGAAAGACAUACUAGCGGAAUGUGUCGGUUUUAGUGGACGGGUGAAGCUAGUUUGUAAUAGCUUGACUUUGGAAAUUUUGUUCAAAACAUGUUUGUAACCGAAUCUAAUUCCCGAUUUCGGGUUGAAUUAAUAUUUUUUUUUUAUUAAAAAAAAAAUAAGUCUC